UGGGGAAUAUUGCACAAUGGGGGAAACCCUGAUGCAGCAACGCCGCGUGAGUGAUGACGGCCUUCGGGUUGUAAAGCUCUGUCUUCAGGGACGAUAAUGACGGUACCUGAGGAGGAAGCCACGGCUAACUACGUGCCAGCAGCCGCGGUAAUACGUAGGUGGCGAGCGUUGUCCGGAUUUACUGGGCGUAAAGGGAGCGUAGGCGGAUUUUUAAGUGAGAUGUGAAAUACUCGGGCUUAACCUGAGUGCUGCAUUUCAAACUGGAAGUCUAGAGUGCAGGAGAGGAGAAGGGAAUUCCUAGUGUAGCGGUGAAAUGCGUAGAGAUUAGGAAGAACACCAGUGGCGAAGGCGCUUCUCUGGACUGUAACUGACGCUGAGGCUCGAAAGCGUGGGGAGCAAACA
Molecule: ribosomal RNA, 402 nt
Filed under: uncultured bacterium
Lineage: Bacteria
Also listed under: 1 other name
Description: partial 16S ribosomal RNA
Rfam family: Bacterial small subunit ribosomal RNA
Source: RNAcentral